UUCCAAAAUAAAUUUCCCGCCAA
Molecule: non-coding RNA, 23 nt
Filed under: Arabidopsis thaliana (thale cress)
Lineage: Eukaryota; Viridiplantae; Streptophyta; Magnoliopsida; Brassicales; Brassicaceae
Source: RNAcentral